Molecule: long non-coding RNA, 3544 nt
Organism: Sarcophilus harrisii (Tasmanian devil)
Lineage: Eukaryota; Metazoa; Chordata; Mammalia; Dasyuromorphia; Dasyuridae
Source: Ensembl
UUAGACAUAUUUUCACUCAUUAUUGAAAUUCUUACACAGUUUCCCAUGAUUUUCUCUAUUCUUCUGUUGUGGCCCACAUCACGACCCACCUGAAAUGAACAGCCAACCUAGAAUCACUAAUGUACUGACUCAAUUAGUUGUUCAUCCAACUGGAUGCUAUAAUCUGGUCAAUAUGCACUUUUCAUCCAUUUUAUUUUUUCCAUUAUGAAUGACUUUGCUGACUUACAUCAUUUGAAUAUGAAUUGGGUACUUCGUGAAAGAAUGAUUCUGUUUCUUAAAAGGGAUAAAUGUUUGUCCCACUCAGAUUUCCUCUGGUUUAUCUCAUGCUAAACAAAAGUAUAAUUCAGUAUGUCAUGAUAAACUGAAGCAUAAAGUAUACAUUUUAAGAGUAAUUUGAUUUCUCCAGCCUCACCAAAAAAAGUUGAGAAGAAUCUUACUUUUAUGGAACUGUUUUUAUUUUUGCUAGACUCAUAAUUUCAUUGUUUUGGAAGCUAAUUCUACCAAAGCUGAUUGGUACCCCUACUGCAACUAUAGUUCACUUUUCUGGGACACUGUUAGGUCAAGUGUAGACAGAACUAUUCAAGAAAAUGCCUAGUGCAUGAAGUUAAAAAUAUAUCAUAGGUUAAUAGACUCAGAUCCAGAAGACAUAAUAGAAGUCAUCCUGUCCAACUCCCUCACGUUACAUCUCAGAAAUUGAAGUUCACAAAGAUGGCUUUCCCAAAGUCACACAGCUAUCAUGUCAGAAUAAAGUCAGCUCACACUUCCUCUGUCAUGGGGAUGAUGAGGAGAGAGAAAUCUCAUUUGGUGUUAAUUGAUUUCUCAAGUUCGUGGCAAGAACUUAUGCCCAAGAAAUUGAGUUCAUUCAUUUGUUGAUUUUGAGCAAAAAGGAUUCCAUGAUAUUCUUAUUCCAGCAAAAUUGUUUUAUUUGCUGUUCCCAAUAUACAACAUUUCAUUUCUUUCCUCUGUGUCUUUGCAACUCCCCAUAUCUGGAGUUCCCUCCCUUUUCACCUAUGCUUCUUGGAGCUAAUAACUCACAGUAAGUUUCAUAUUGAAUAACACCUCUUCGACAAGAUUUUUCCCAGCCUCCUCAGUUGUACCAAACUUGUGAUCAUGUUGAAUUGAUUUAUCUGUAUGCUUCUUGUCUUCCUUCAAUAAAAGGCCAGCUCCUUGAGGUCAGGAAUUAUUUUAUUUUUGCCUUUGUUUCCUCCAGAGUCUAGUACAGCACCCGAUAUGUGGUAGAUGCUUAAUUGAAUUACUUAUUGAAUUUAACUGAAUCUAAACUCUAUUUCUCCUCUAGUUCUAACACAAUGUUCUGAACCAAGUAGGUGCUUAAUACCCAUGCACAGUGUUCUGCACCGAGUAGGUGCUUAAUAAAUGCACUUGUCAAGCACUAUUAAAUUUAAACAAAUCAUCACAUCAAGAGGUACAAUGUAGUAGAGUUUAAAAAAAAUCUUCUAGUUUGGUUGAUCACUAGCUUUGUAAUUUGAGGCAAGUCACUGGACCUUAAAGAGUUUUAUUUUUCUCAAGUCUAAAAUGAGGGGAUUCAUCUAGGUGUCCUGUGUGGUCCUUUACAGCUUCGAGUCUAGGUGCCAUCUAACUUUCAAAUGAAGGCUCUCUUUAAAAAGGAAACUUUGCUUUGGAUCCAAUCCCAUGUCCAUUGUCCCGAUCUGAAUUUUGAUCCGUGUCUAAAUGAAUGAGUUAAUGAGCACUUGCAAAAACAAACAUGCAAAAGCCAAGAACAGGUUUCAGGAUCUAAUUGUUCAUAUUCUUGGAGACGUAACACAGUGUAACAGUCUCUCUCUAUUGUGUUCUCAUGCUUACACAACUUUCCUUUCCACAGUCCAGAUUCUAAUUUCUCUCCACCAUCCUCCCUUGCAAAGUUCACAGAUACAGGAAAUGCAACCGCAGAAACACCAACACCUGCCAAGGGAAACUGUCAAGACAAAUGGCUGCCUCUCAGCCCCAGGAUUUGGCACAGUAAACUAGCUCCAUCACCAAUUCUUCCCCAAGCACACACAGCUCUCCCUUCUUUCCCAUUUUACCUUCUAUCCAAGGCUGAACCUUUAAAGGGCCAGUGGAUGACAAAUCUAGGCCCCUUUUGUUUAUGCCAUUGGAAAUCUUGGGCCUCAGAAGCCUUUUUCUUCAGUUCUCUUUAUAUUGAAAAAAGUAAUUCAGUUUCUUUUCUGCUAACUCAUCAUGUAAAUAAACAUGCGUGAGCAACUAAUCCAUAGCCAACAGCCAAUGCUUUGUGAGGCAUUAACAAGCCGGUGUUGUUCUCCGUGAUGCAGUGUUAUUUUAAAAACAACAGUAACUGAGAAGGGCUGAGAAAUGGGUGGUGUCUUUUAAUCCAUUUUUUAAAUGCUGGCUUUAGAUAAUAAUUAAAUCUCUGUACUUCUGAAGAAGAGCUUAAACUUUGGCACUAAAAGUUGGAUGAUGUUCAACUUAUGUUAUGUCAAGGGGAUUUACAGCUGAGAAGGAUGACUCAUUAUGUGUAAGAGUAGCCACAAGCCUUGAAUGGUACUUCAAAAAAAAAUUCUAAGGGAAAGGUUUUACUAGUGUCAACUAGUAACUGAUAGGAUUCUGCUUAUUCCUCCUAGCAUGGUAUACGUUCCACCCCAAGUAAAGGUUCAUUACAUCCUUGUGAAAUUAUAGCUCUGGUUCAAUAGCAUGCGACAAUCCUCCUCGAAGCAUGAGUCUGAGCUCGUUUCCCAGCUGGCUGCCCCUCUUCUGCUUGUUUUCUAAUAAAAGUUACCCAGGAUACAUACUCUAUGUAGUAUCCAGAACAGAUAGGUACUGUGUGGGGCUGCCCAUCAGAUAGAGUGGUCUCCCACAUAACCCUUAACAUAAGCUCAAUAAAGCUCCACCCCCAUUCCCUGUGAAAUUUCCACCAAUGGACCAGCCAUCCACGAUUCAUCCUCAUCCUCUUCUAGCUUUGGGUAUUUGAUCAUUUCUGUACAUGAGAUUUUGAGUGGAUGGUACCUUUUGGUCUUUUUAUUUUGUGAAAAAAAAAAUAUAUAUAUAUGUAUAUAUCUCUUUCCUAAAUAUUGUGGCAAUGUGGGUUGUGUUGUAUAUGCUGUCACAGACUGAAUGCUCAUGUUCCCGAUAGGUCUGUUCAUGAGCUUGACUUGCAUCCUGCCUUGCAAAAAUAUCUGUCUACUUGAAUCAGCUGCAGUAUUUUGCAUUGACACCCAAGCUGAAAAUGGCUUUUAAGACGUUUUAUUCUCAUGGAAUGGACUAUCUUUGAACCAUGAUGUUUAAAUGUUUCUGAAUUUUCCAAACACCAUUUUUAUAAAACCAUUGAAAAAAAAUCAUGCUGGUCAUUUUUCUUGAAUUAAAUGAAUGUAUAAAUUAAUUAAUAAGCUGACAAGUAAAUUAUUGGGGGAGGGAUGUGCUUUGUGGCCAUGCGAUUCAUUCAUGUUUUAAGGGAGUUGUUCUAUUUGUUUCAAUGAUGUAAUUCAAAUUAUAAGUAUUUACACUCCUAUCAAUACAGCAACAUAUUUAUGUCUUGUUCAAUAUUGAAAUGUGUCCUCUAAUAAAAUAUUUU